RNAcentral lists this ribosomal RNA (491 nucleotides) under uncultured bacterium. Its description in RNAcentral is "partial 16S ribosomal RNA". It matches the Rfam family "Bacterial small subunit ribosomal RNA", at positions 29 to 507 of the family's 1533-position model. The record is from RNAcentral.
AGUGAACGCUGGCGGUAGGCCUAACACAUGCAAGUCGAACGGCAGCACAGUAAGAGCUUGCUCUUACGGGUGGCGAGUGGCGGACGGGUGAGGAAUACAUCGGAAUCUACUUUUUCGUGGGGGAUAACGUAGGGAAACUUACGCUAAUACCGCAUACGACCUACGGGUGAAAGCAGGGGAUCUUCGGACCUUGCGCGAUUGAAUGAGCCGAUGUCGGAUUAGCUAGUUGGCGGGGUAAAGGCCCACCAAGGCGACGAUCCGUAGCUGGUCUGAGAGGAUGAUCAGCCACACUGGAACUGAGACACGGUCCGACUCCUACGGGAGGCAGCAGUGGGGAAUAUUGGACAAUGGGCGCAAGCCUGAUCCAGCCAUACCGCGUGGGUGAAGAAGGCCUUCGGGUUGUAAAGCCCUUUUGUUGGGAAAGAAAAGCAGCAGGUUAAUACCCCGCUGUUCUGACGGUACCCAAAGAAUAAGCACCGGCUAACUUCGUG